RNAcentral lists this long non-coding RNA (1319 nucleotides) under Chinchilla lanigera (long-tailed chinchilla). RNAcentral's name for it is "lncRNA (ENSCLAG00000024358.1)". The record is from RNAcentral. Lineage: Eukaryota; Metazoa; Chordata; Mammalia; Rodentia; Chinchillidae.
GCUACAUCUACCUAUUGUCUAUUUUGAGUUUCUCAUGUAAAAGAAACCGUACAAUAUUUAAGCUCAUGUGUCUGACAUUUCACUUAAUAGUACAGUCUUAAGGUGCUUCCAUUUAUCUACUAAUACCUGAAGUUAAUCUUUCUUUAUGACAGAAUAGUACUCCAUUGUGUAUAAAUGCCAUGUAAAAUGUAGAAGAAGGAAGGAAAUUUGUCUAAAUAAGUCAUGACCACCUGUUGGGAAAGUCGAAGUAUUUGGGUCAUUGAGGGCAAGUUUUUUGGAAAUGAAUGAAAACCCCUGGGAAGUUUUGAAAUAAACUGUACAACAGGGUGCACCUCCAGGUAUUUUCUUCCCAUCACAAACUUUGAAAACUUUCCACCCUAGCCAGCCAGCCAUCUGCCUUUCUUUCUACUGGUGAUGCUUUGAGUUUGUUUUUUUUUUUUUAAUUUUGGCAAGGGAUCUCACUAAGUUAUUAAAUUGCCUGGGUGUGGCUCAAACGUGUGUUCUUCCUGACUUCCAAAUUGUUGGGAUUACAGGUGUGCACAUAUUUAAAUAUCAAAUUUAAAUACUUAAAUGUUGUUACCAGUUAAACUAAUGGAAUCAAUGAAAUUUAAAAUACAAGCUAAUUUUGCAAAUAUGUGUUUUUUGUUUUUUUUUUUCCAGUACCAAGAAUUGAACUCAUGACCUCACAUUUGCCAGGCAGGCACUGUGCUGCUGAGCUAAUCCCCAGCCCCUACAAAUAUGUGUUAAGCAUGGUUUAUGAGGCAGAUCCUGUAUCACUGUCUCUGUUGUCUGCAGGUUCUUGCGUCUGUGGCUAUCUCCAGCAAAGCACACAGGUGGAGCGGGCAGUCCAUUACUACAUAUGUCAUGAAAGCCAAUUUUGGAAAGAGCAGCCCACCAGUUUUCCAGCACACACUGAGGAAGACUGCAUCACUCUAGGGCUUGGGUACCAGGAGGGGGCAUCACUGGGUGCUUAAUCAGAAGCUGCCUACCAUGUACAAUUUGGGAUUCCUGUGGGGACCUGGAGAAGCUGUCACUCUGUCAACAAGGGAGUGGUAAAGGAAUCUCAGCUUUAGAAAGAAGUAAUUUUUAACUAUAUGAAGCUGCGAUACUGCAGAAGGUUUGGGCACCUACCCUGUGAUUUGUGGAGUAACCCAGAUCUAUUGACUUUAGAAGUGGAUUUUUGGUAGCUAAUCACUGUGGACGUAUGUUCCUGACCAUGAUGUAAAAUGGAACCUUUGCCGUGUCCCCAGAGUCCUAUCACUGGUGGUUCUGCUCUAUCUCUGUCUCAAGAACAUUUUUUUAAAUCUCAAUAAAUUUUU